Molecule: ribosomal RNA, 1347 nt
Filed under: uncultured bacterium
Lineage: Bacteria
Description: bacterial SSU rRNA
Rfam family: Bacterial small subunit ribosomal RNA
Source: RNAcentral
GACGAUUGCUGGCGGCGUGCUUAACACAUGCAAGUCGAACGAUGAAGCCUAGCUUGCUAGGUGGAUUAGUGGCGAACGGGUGAGUAAUACGUGAGUAACCCACCUUUAACUCUGGGAUAAGCCUGGGAAACUGGGUCUAAUACCGGAUACGACCAAUCUCCGCAUGGGGUGUUGGUGGAAAGCGUUAUGUAGUGGUUAUAGAUGGGCUCACGGCCUAUCAGCUUGUUGGUGAGGUAACGGCUCACCAAGGCGACGACGGGUAGCCGGCCUGAGAGGGUGACCGGCCACACUGGGACUGAGACACGGCCCAGACUCCUACGGGAGGCAGCAGUGGGGAAUAUUGCACAAUGGGCGCAAGCCUGAUGCAGCGACGCCGCGUGAGGGAUGACGGCCUUCGGGUUGUAAACCUCUGUUAGCAGGGAAGAAGAGAGAUUGACGGUACCUGCAGAGAAAGCGCCGGCUAACUACGUGCCAGCAGCCGCGGUAAUACGUAGGGCGCGAGCGUUGUCCGGAAUUAUUGGGCGUAAAGAGCUUGUAGGCGGUUUGUCGCGUCUGCUGUGAAGGCCGGGGCUUAACUCCGUGUAUCGCAGUGGGUACGGGCAGACUAGAGUGCAGUAGGGGAGACUGGAAUUCCUGGUGUAGCGGUGGAAUGCGCAGAUAUCAGGAGGAACACCGAUGGCGAAGGCAGGUCUCUGGGCUGUAACUGACGCUGAGAAGCGAAAGCAUGGGGAGCGAACAGGAUUAGAUACCCUGGUAGUCCAUGCCGUAAACGUUGGGCACUAGGUGUGGGGGACAUUCCACGUUUUCCGCGCCGUAGCUAACGCAUUAAGUGCCCCGCCUGGGGAGUACGGCCGCAAGGCUAAAACUCAAAGAAAUUGACGGGGGCCCGCACAAGCGGCGGAGCAUGCGGAUUAAUUCGAUGCAACGCGAAGAACCUUACCAAGGCUUGACAUAUACUGGACCGCAUCAGAGAUGGUGUUUCCCUUCGGGGCUGGUAUACAGGUGGUGCAUGGUUGUCGUCAGCUCGUGUCGUGAGAUGUUGGGUUAAGUCCCGCAACGAGCGCAACCCUCGUUCUAUGUUGCCAGCACGUUAUGGUGGGGACUCAUAGGAGACUGCCGGGGUCAACUCGGAGGAAGGUGGGGAUGACGUCAAAUCAUCAUGCCCCUUAUGUCUUGGGCUUCGCGCAUGCUACAAUGGCCGGUACAGAGGGUUGCGAUACUGUGAGGUGGAGCUAAUCCCUAAAAGCCGGUCUCAGUUCGGAUUGGGGUCUGCAACUCGACCCCAUGAAGUCGGAGUCGCUAGUAAUCGCAGAUCAGCAACGCUGCGGUGAAUACGUUCCCGGGCCU